CAGAGCCAAAGCUGGUGAAUGGCAGAACCAACAUUCUACAUGCCUGGAGCUCACAGAGUAGCCCGGAUGGAUCGCAGUGCAUUAGAAUGGUGAGUUUCUUUUGUCAGAUCCAGUUCUACCAAUCAACAUCCGAGGGUCAAAUGUGUUCGGCAUUGGAGCUUCAUAAGGGAAAGAGUAUUGUUAAGAUUUUUGCAGACCCAAUCCCUAUGCACUAUGUCCAAACCCUUUCAGACUAGAUCACCUUCUUGACUCCUCCAGGAGCUCAUCACAUCCCUCCACUGAGAGUGAUUGGACAAGAACCAGGGGCAGAAGCCGAUGUGGGCUGGGGUCCAGCUCAGCUCAGCCACCAUAGCAGGCAGGGCACAUGAAUGAGGGUGGCAGUUCUUGGAAGUGGACAUGCCUGGGUUCUGGUUAUGUAAACAGGAGCCCAGGCAGAGAGGGUGCCAAGGUGGUAGGUGCAGGAGGGCUAGAGGUAAAGCCAGGACUUUCGGUGCCCUCCCUGGCAGAGAGACGCCUGGCCAUACUGCUGGAAAGCUUCUGAUCAGGAAGCCCUCUGGGAAGCCCUUCCCACCCCCAGAUCAUGCCCUGUGCAGAGAAGGGUGGUUGGGGAUGUGGUGUGUAAUGAGCAAGGGCCAUCUGCAUUGAGGCCUCUGGAUUCUCCACUUGGCUUUGUUCAAGCAGAGGAGGCUUAUGGCUUCGGGGUAUUUCAGUACGGUAAAAUGGGCAUGGAUUUUGAAGUCUGAUGGUCCUGGUGUCCUGGUGCUACUCUUUAGCCCUUGAAACCCAAUGAUACUCUGUCACCACCCUGUAGCUAGCAGCAGUAACAAACACACCCUUAUUCAGAGAUGUGACAGGAUGUCAUCUCCUCAUUUAGGUCAUUGAGUGGAUCUCCUCCAGGUGAGCAUUCAGGGAUCCAGGAUCCUUCCACUUGGUGGCUAUACAGUCCCCUAAGGCCCCGGAGACCUCUGCCUAGAGGUGAUGGUGAGAGAGAAGGUGGUGUGUCUUAGCACAUUAGCCCAGAGUGACACAUAUCCCUUCCAGUCACAUUUCCUUGAGCCGGGGGGCUAGGAAACGUAACCCCAGUGACUAUUCUGUACUAGGGAAAGGACCACGUGAGUGUAACCAGACAAUUAGCUUCCCUGCCAUGACCACUGGGCCAAAUCUAAAAGCCUCAAUGGCCCCAUCUGUGAGGCAGAGAAAAUGGAACUCGACCUCUCAGAGCUGCUAUGGCAUCAGAGCUGAGGUGAGGUGCGACUCACCUCCUGCUCCAUGAUGGGCCGGCCGCCCCCACCCCCACAACUGCUGUCAGUGCUCCAUGUCCUUCUGUGCUUCUAUCUAAAGAGGCCUCACAAUGACCAUCAUGCAAUAUGCAUCCUGCCUGGUGAUGGUUACAUAAAUGUGAGUCUGUGUCAUGAUGACUACUAAGCAACAUGUAUUAUCUACUGUGAUUAUUACGUCAACGCGAAUGGACACUUCACUCUAACGUAGGUCCCAUGAAAUACACCUUCUGGGCCAUGGACAUAAUAUUUUAAAUAUUACCCCAUUGUUUGCCAUUAUUUUAAAAGGACUUUGUUAUAAAAGCAAUAUAGGUCACUGAAAAAAUUGCCAACACGGAGACACAAAGUGGGGCUUCAGUGUUUCUUCCUGAUCCUCCAGGCCUAUUCGGGUAAAUAACCACUGGGAUGAUUUUGGUUUAGAAACACCCUAUGCUUAUAAGUAAGCAUAGGUUGAUGCUUUUAUUUUGCAUAACAGCAAAUCAUGCUAAAAUGCUAUUCUGCAGCCCCCUUUCUUUCCUUCUGUUUCCAUAUGUGCUCUGACGCACUUUUUUGACAGCUCCAUACUACCCCACUGUGGGUAUGGGCUGCAGUUUGUCUGACCAGAGAUGAGAACUUUAGCAAUAAGUAAAAAGGCAUCAUGUUCUAACUUUCUUCUGGGGUAUGCUGGGCCACUCCCCAUGCCUACCUUCCCAUCAAACUUCAGGCACUCCAAAACCCCAUGGCUCCAUCAGGUGCCCACAGCUCUCACCAGAGCACCUUCAUGUCCUGGAAUUGGACCAGGUUUGUCCCCAAACCCUUGAUUGUUCUCUCAGGGGUGAGGUCAAGGGGGUGGGAGGAAGAGUGAGAAGCCUGCAGGAACCCUUCCCUAUGCAGGAGCCAAACUAACCCAGAGGAGCAGUCCUCAAGGUCCCCCAGGGCACUAAAGACACUUGUUUCAACCUCAAGGACAUGGGCCCAGAGCGUGGGGAUCAUUAAAGGAAUCUCCUCUUUGGCUCACGUCAUUCACGGUAAGACUUCCUAACAUGGUGCAAAAAACCAAGUGGCUCUAGCAACAUCGUCAAGGUCCUGGGUGGACAGUCAGGCACUGGGCUGUGAAAAUGAAUUUGUGCACCACCCCACUGCCCACACCGUGGAACCCACCUGGUGCCAGUCCUCAACAACAUUUCCCAAUUUGGGGCCGUUUGCGUGCUAUCUUCUGCUUUCCUGUUUUGCUUCUCUGCACACCACCUUUGCACAUAUCUCUAGGUUUGAACAAUUGCACUUACACAUUUCUAAUCUAUGUUCCUUCCAUCUUAAUCCCAGGCAACAUCUUGAAGCCACAAGUUGGGUGUGCUAGUUAUGCCCAACUAUUAGGGCACAUGCAACUCUCACCAAGAAAGUCAUUCAUCUCUGCACCUCCUAAAAUCAUUGCCUACAUCAUUCUUGGGGUUGUGGCCCCAGGACUCCCAUAGAUCUCCAGGGAGGGGCUUCUCUCUGUACCGUUUCAGAGGAGGCUCCUUAGAGAUCUUCAGCACAUGUGAGUUUCACAUUAUGAGCCAGCUACCCCUGUUUCCUUCAUCAGCACAGGAGAAGAUUUUUGGCCACAAUGAUCCUUGUGGAAUGUUUUCCUCUCUUUCUGGGAAGAAAAGAAGUGCCUCCAUUCCCAAUUCCCACUGAGGAGAAGCACUGAGGAGUGAGAAGCAUCCAGGACUCUGGCUCCACAGAUGUGGAAUCUCUUCAGUGCUAAGUGCUCUGGGCCAGGGAGGCAUGAGUCCUGCUCAUAGGCUUUUGGGUUCACUUGGUGAAUUUGGCCUCCUUUUCAGCGCUUGGGUUAAUGAGGUGCAGAUGGUCCAUAGCUGAUUCCUUUCCUAUGACAACUAUUUCACAGGCAAGGAAACAUACUCAAUGGCUCCUUGGUGAAUAGUUACCUAGUUUCUGAAAUCCCUACUCAGUCUGGGAAAAGGUUUCUCAUCAGAGGAAAGAUGACCCAAGAUGGACUUACUGAAGUACUGGGAUGCACAUUCCUUGGCAGAUACGCUGGGAAUCUGGAGAUCUUGGUGGCUCUGUGUUUGGUUGUACAGAGAUGCUGAUACUAUCUUUGUGGUAAGUGGCACAUUAUUGGGUGACAUUCAGAAAUAUUUCCACCCCAUAGCAACUCACUCACAACCCCCAUCAUCCUGGCAGUGUCCCCAGAUACACCCAUUCCUGUCUUGGCCACACCUGGAAGUGUUGCCGUGUAUCAAGGGCUCCUCCAGAAGCACUUUCCCCUUAUGUUCAGUAGACCUUCCCUUCAGAGGCGUCUGUUGCCUCCUGUGGCCUCCUGUGAAGUUUGGGCCAGUUUAUUCAGUGUGACCAAGCACUGUGGGGGGAGGGGAGACUGAGGAUUAGUAUUGUGCUCUGACAACAAAUAAUGAGGACAAGAACUGGUAAGCACAGCAGUGCAGAGACUGUCCAUCCAGAUUUCAGAGAGCCAUAGAGCUUGUUGACAAGGAAUUGCUGCCCGAGGUCUGGCUGGGCAUUUAACUUGACAGAUGCAGAAAAGCGAGUGGGUGGAGUGUUACAGAGAAGCCCACAUUGGACCCAAUUCAGACUCCACACUGCAUCUGCCUGUCUCUGGGGAGUUGGAGUCCCUGGACUCCCACUAGUCUGUUGGGUCUGGUUGAGUGGGUUUAAAUCUUGUCAAUCACAAACAUGGGAUUUAUCCACAUUCUGUCCUGCUUAGUGCUUUGUCCAGGAAGCCAGUUUUUUCCUCCAGAGUAGGAGUCUCAGCCCCCUGAACACAUGUAGCUACCUCCUUCCCGCAUCCGACAUUGAGUACCAAGAAAAUUUGUGUGUUUAUCUAGAUAAAAGACUGAAUUGAGAGCUGAAGCCUCUGCAUACAACAUGGUGACUGCAUUCCAGGUCAGAUGGAGCAGGCUUUGCUCUUGUUAGGCUUAUUGGAGCUGCAUCCUUUCCAAAAUCACAGAGAACAACUCCAACUGGUCCCACGCAGGGUGCUCAGCAGCAGUACGCAGCACAGGUAGCUUCAGCCUCUGGAGGUAAGGCCUCCAGUUGCCUGAGUCUGCUCAGGGACAUCCUUCAGGGAGGACCUGAAGCUCAGCGCCUCACAGUUCACUUCCUCUCUUGCAACAUUUCCCGAGCAUAUGGCUGUGGCAGGUUAGCAAUGAGCCUGCUGGCUUGGAGAUGAAGGGCAGUGGGACCAUCAGUGUCAGGUUGUGUUAGUCUGUAGGACCAUUGGUCCAGCUGCCCCUUUGGGGAUGGUGGAGCUGACGGGAGGUGAAGAGCCAGUCAUCCCUGUCUGCCAUAGAGCUCCAGGCCCACUUGGGUUGGUCUUGAUUAUGAUGGAGCCUUCUGGCCAAGGACCUGGGGCCACACUGAGAAGUGAGCAGCAAUUUCCAUUCUCCCUGAGUUAGAUUCUGGGUGUGCCCAACAGCGACCUCUGGACAGAUGGCUGUCAGGAGAUCCUGUUUGCUUACCUCAAUGGCUCCAGGCACCAGCAUCUCUAACGUCCUCCAGUAGGACCCAGGACAGUACCCUAGCGACCCCGGGCCCUCUUUUCACAGCUCUGAGUGACAACAGUUGAUGGGGUAGCACUCUGUGGUUUGGUCUAGUUAGGAGAUUUCCAAUCUGUGCUGGUAAGUGAGAAUAUGUGUGCCCUACAAGUGUUGCCUGUGUAGAGAAACACCACCUCCUACCCAUGUGAGCCACUAAUCUUUGAAUAUUAAUGAAUGGCUAUAAUUAAUAAAAUGCAUGCUUAUUUGUACAAAUAGCUAAAUUCAUUAUAGGCUUUUGUCAUUAGGUAUUUUCUUGAUCAAGAAAUAUUAAAGGGGCUGGGGAUAUAGUGCCAUUGGUAGAGUGCUUCCCUAGUAUGCACAAGGCCCUGGGUUCAAUCCCCAGCAAAACACACACGUGCGCGCGCACACACACACACACACACACAAGAAAUAUUGAAUAAACAAGCAUUUCAUGGGGUCUGACAUAUUUUGGGGUUUAUGUAGGAUCACUAUGAUUGGGAAUAUGGAAGUUGUUGCUGCUAAAGAGGAACAUCAAGGUUGACUCUGUGAUGGCCACAAGGCCCAGGCCCACAUGGGGUGCAGGAGCAGAGACACACAGUGGGGCUUCUGCCUGGGGGGACUUGAACCAUUGCGCACUCUCAUGCUUGUGCAAAACCCACUUUGUUCUCUGAUUUUUAAAAAUUUAUUCUAAUUUGUUAUAUAUAAUAGCAGAAUGCAUUUCAAUUCACAUUACACAUAUAGAGUACAAUUUUUCAUGUCUCUAGUUGUACACAAUGUAGAGUCACACCAUUCAUGUCUUCAUGCAUGUACUUAAAGAUGUCCAUCUCAUUCCACUGCCUGUUCUCUGAUUUUUAAAAUAAAAUAUUUUAAAAAAUAUUUUGUUUAUUUAGUUGUAGUUGGACACAAUACCUUUAUUUUAUUUUUAUGUGGUGCUGAGGAUCGAACCCAGGGCCUCACAUAUGCUAGGCGAGCACUCUAACGCUGAGCCACAACCCCAGCCCCUUAAAAUGAAAUUUUAACCUAAAUUCAUCUUGGUGUUGCUUGGACCCAAUCUGAGUCUGUAUGAUUAGUUCAGGAGAAGUGAAGGUACACACUUAUUGUUUGACUUCGGCCUUACAGAGACAGGGUGACACACCUGAUCUGAUGCUGGGGCAGCCCCAUGUCCCUGUCCAGCAGGGAAGAGGCAAAUCAUGUUGGGUGUUGGGACACUGCUCUGUUUUCUCCUGUGGGAGGGCCCCAACAGCACCUCCACCUGCCACCUGCACCUUCCCUCCAACGUGGGCUACGUCAGCAGGCUUCGGGGUCCUGGACCACAUCUGCCUUGUGGAGUAGCAGCCUAGCUUCAGCAGGAACACUUUCAGAAAUACUGUUGAGUGAACAAGUCAGUGAGCAGAUGAACCCACGAACAGUUAGCUGUGUCUUCAACAUCUUGGGUCAGGGAUAGAAAUAUUUGAAGGAGACUUUGAAAGUGCCGGUCACUGUUUAUUAUAAGAGGGCUGCUGCAGUUUUCACCCCUGUGUGGACUUCUGGAGGGCUGGAGUGUUGAACCAAAGACCUAUUUUCCCCUUGAUUAUAGAAACAGUACAUGCUCAUUGAAUGGGAUGGGGGACAGCCAAUGGCCCUCACAGACACCUCUCCAUGGACCUGGCUCAUCCUUCCACACCCCUCCUUCACGUGCUCUAAAUGGCCUCUGCUCACCACCCUGACCCAUUCCCCUCCACCCUGCUCUGUCCCCCUGUCCCCAGGGGGGGAACUUCCUGGCAUAACUCAAGUUCUUAUCCUGGCUUCCCUUUAUGGUCAGCGCAGAGAGGUGUGGCAGGUACAAAGCCUGCGGCUGAGAAGCGGGGGACAGUCCCCUGCUUCGUGUAAGCCAGUCCAGUCCUUCUGGCUUCAGAACCCACUGCUAGACUCACCUGGCAGACUCUGGCCUCCCCCGUCCCCCACGCUCUCCUCUCCCGUCUGUGCUCCAGUGGCAUGUGUUCUGCCCGGUGGGUCUGGAGUCGCCCUCCCGUCUUCACACUUUACUCUGCCCACCACUCUCCAGGAGGCCUCUUCCCUGAAGCUCCUAUAAAUGGACUUCUUGAUGACUCCUUCCUGACAGGACCCUGUGACAAGACACAGCUGUGGCCGUCCUAGAACAUUCCAUCGUAUAACUUGAUUUUUAAAGUUAACAAUAUUCCACUAUAGGAAUCUUUUAAUCCCAGUAAAUGUAAUUUCACAUCCUCGUUAUUUUGAUUGAUAAAAUAUCCAGUAGGAUUUAGUUAAAUCCCACAAACAAUUAUUGAGGUGCAUACAGGACACAUUCCUGCCCUUGAGUAUGCCGUGAUGCUACGUGGGCCUUACCACACACAUGGAACAACCGGGAGGAAAGUAAAAGGUGUCAUGAAGGAGAUUCACCAAGAGCCAGAGGUGGGGCCCAGAGAACAGUGUCCUGGAGGGGGCGGCAGUGUCUUUGGUGUGCAGGACAAGACUGAGGCUGACCGGAACUAGAGGCUGAAAGCCAUCCCAGGCAAGAGCUCCUGCUGGAAGACCAACCCCUAAGGUCCCCAAGCAGGGAGGAACCGGGUUUACCCAGCAGAAUGAAAUACUCUUCCCACGGAACUCAUUCAUCUCUCUUUUAAGGUGGUUUCCUGGUAGUAUGGUUGUUUUCUGUUCCCUGGAGACCAUAGCCCCAGGAGGCCAGGGACUCCUCCUCACACCCUUCAAGACCCCCGGUUGGCGUGUGGCUUCAAGUGAAUACUGGAUAAUAAAGUGGAACCCUGAUUCCUUGCACUCUUUUGGUGGGGGUGAGGCUGAGGGCCUUGUGGGAAGCUCUCUGCACCUGGCUCCUUUUGGCAAUGGCCUCUUUCUCUUUUCAAAAUACUCCUGCUCAUUUAUGCUUACAGGGAAUGGAAUCGUCCAUGUGAGAACACAGUGUGGACAGGAUGCUGCCUCUGGAGAGCUUGGGGACACUCUGCCCAGGGUUCCUUCUUCUGAGUGGGAUCAGGAGUAGAAAGCCGUCCCUCCUCCUGGGAACGAGAUGGAAUAAAACCUGACUCUCUGAUCUCCUGCCUCUGGUUAACGGGGAAGCCUACACCGAAUGGUUCUACAGGGCAGGCUGACCUUUGAAGCAGAGGCUCCAUCCAGAACUGAGUGGGCUCUUCUGCCAAUAUUAAAACUUUAGCGAGUUUCCUGCAGCAUCCCAAGAACAGCCAGAGGGCACAGAUGUUUGCCAUGGACACUUUCUUUCUCUUGCCCUCCCCAUCUUGCCUAUCCUUCUGCUCGGCAGCUUUGGGUGUUGUUGUGGGGCAAGAGAGGAGGGCAGAGUUUGGGAUACCCGUCCAGCACCAUUAGGAGCCAGCCAGAGAUGGGGAUCAAGCAGGAGCAGCAGCUAGGAAACAGAAACUGGACAGAGAUGGGUGAAGGGCAGGAGCACGUGCUCCACAGGGUGCUGGCUGUCUGCACCUUUAACAGACAGCGCGCCUCUCUUAGAUUCACGUCCCUGGCAAAGGAUGGAGACGGCAAUGCCCAUCUGCCCUUACAGAGCCCUGAAAAUAGGGGAGGGAAAGGGUGAGUGGACACCCAUAGUGUGACCUCUGGGGUGGGCUCACCACAUUUCAUUCUUUGUCUCCCUGUGCUCCUGCUCACUGUGUUUUUUUUUUUUUAAUUUCAAACUCCUGUGGGGAAGAAAGGUGCUUUCUUUCACGAAGGAGCAUCUAUUACUACCAUGAGCAGUGCGGAGCCUUGAAGGCAUGCAGCACAUAUCCGAUCUGGAAGUGGGUAGUUGGGGAGGAAUCAGGUUUAUCUGCUCGCAGAGUAUCUCCCCAUGGUCUAAUCAUCCUGAUCUCUGGAAGAACUUUUAACCCAGCUGCGUGUCUGCCUUCUGUCUCUGAGUCCAGUCCUUCUGCUGGCUCCUGCCCACACAAGGCACGGCCUGGAGCUGAGCGGCCCUCCUGGGCCUGCGGCAAGCUGCUCAGGAGGAGAGGCUGGUCUGCACAGAGGGAACCCCAGGGCGUCCUGAUUCCAUGGCCUUAUAAACACCCAGGAAAGUCUGCUGGCUGUUGAAAACUCAGAUUCUAAAUACUGUUUACCCCUGAAUCAUUUGUAAUUCCUUUCCCAGCUCACAUAACUGUAAACUCCUACAAAGUGCUUUAUAAAUACUCAUUAGAGUCUCACAAAAGUCCUUUGA
RNAcentral lists this long non-coding RNA (8939 nucleotides) under Marmota monax (woodchuck). Lineage: Eukaryota; Metazoa; Chordata; Mammalia; Rodentia; Sciuridae. The record is from RNAcentral.